Molecule: ribosomal RNA, 468 nt
Filed under: uncultured bacterium
Lineage: Bacteria
Description: partial 16S ribosomal RNA
Rfam family: Bacterial small subunit ribosomal RNA
Source: RNAcentral
GACGAACGCUGGCGGCGUGCUUAACACAUGCAAGUCGAACGGAAAGGCCCUGCUUUUGUGGGGUGCUCGAGUGGCGAACGGGUGAGUAACACGUGAGUAACCUGCCCUUGACUUUGGGAUAACUUCAGGAAACUGGGGCUAAUACCGGAUAGGAGCUCCUGCUGCAUGGUGGGGGUUGGAAAGUUUCGGCGGUUGGGGAUGGACUCGCGGUUUAUCAGCUUGUUGGUGGGGUAGUGGCUUACCAAGGCUUUGACGGGUAGCUGGCCUGAGAGGGUGACCGGCCACAUUGGGACUGAGAUACGGCCCAGACUCCUACGGGAGGCAGCAGUGGGGAAUAUUGCACAAUGGGCGGAAGCCUGAUGCAGCAACGCCGCGUGCGGGAUGACGGCCUUCGGGUUGUAAACCGCUUUCGCCUGUGACGAAGCGUGAGUGACGGUAAUGGGUAAAGAAGCACCGGCUAACUACGUG